GAGUCCAAAGCCACUUGUAUGGUGUUCUGGCCGGAAAUUCUUCCACAACGCCACCCAGGAUGGAGAAUAAGAUGACCGAGAGGAUACUGGACCUCACCCUGGAGAUCAUCUGCCUGCUGACCGGAGAGGAUUUCCUUCCUCUGAAGGCCGGUGACCGAGUGACCAUCACAAUGCCGCUACCGAACACCCUGAUACGCAAGGGAAUCAAUGACCAGAAGAUCCUAGAGGCCACCAAGAAGAUGAUGGAGCUGCUGACGGGAGAGGUUCCUAUAAGGUGUCAGGAUGUC
Long non-coding RNA from Nanorana parkeri, 287 nucleotides. RefSeq lists it as uncharacterized. The transcript is spliced from 3 exons. The record is from RefSeq and is a predicted model, not a curated record. NCBI's taxonomy places the organism in Eukaryota, Metazoa, Chordata, Amphibia, Anura, Dicroglossidae.